RNAcentral lists this ribosomal RNA (369 nucleotides) under Triticum aestivum (bread wheat). Its description in RNAcentral is "partial small subunit ribosomal RNA". The record is from RNAcentral. Lineage: Eukaryota; Viridiplantae; Streptophyta; Magnoliopsida; Poales; Poaceae.
AUGGGAUACUAUCUCAAUGAUGGCAUCUAUCCCGAAUGGGCAACUCUUGUGAAGUCCAUCAAGGAGAAAACUGGGGUGCCCUUAAUAAGAAAAGAGGCUCAUUUCACCAAGGCACAAGAGGCAGCCCGCAAGGAUAGUGUGAGAGAUUUUGGUGUUUUGCAAGCAAGGUUUGCCAUAGUUCGGGGUCCAGCUCGGUUUUGGGACAAAAAAACCUUGGUGAACAUCAGGAAAUGUUGUGUGAUUCUACACAACAUGAUCCUAGAGGAUGAGAGAGGGUUAAACCUCCCUUGUUUCUAUGACAAUGUUGGUACCCGUGUGCAACCGAAGAAGCCCUUCUCGCAUACACGCUUUUCUUCAAGCACAUCGUGA